This 503-nucleotide ribosomal RNA is filed under the name Helicobacter pylori. RNAcentral's name for it is "bacterial LSU rRNA". It matches the Rfam family "Bacterial large subunit ribosomal RNA", at positions 1783 to 2284 of the family's 2925-position model. Lineage: Bacteria; Pseudomonadati; Campylobacterota; Epsilonproteobacteria; Campylobacterales; Helicobacteraceae. The record is from RNAcentral.
AAAGAGUCCCUCCCGACUGUUUACCAAAAACACAGCACUUUGCCAACUCGUAAGAGGAAGUAUAAGGUGUGACGCCUGCCCGGUGCUCGAAGGUUAAGAGGAUGCGUCAGUCGCAAGAUGAAGCGUUGAAUUGAAGCCCGAGUAAACGGCGGCCGUAACUAUAACGGUCCUAAGGUAGCGAAAUUCCUUGUCGGUUAAAUACCGACCUGCAUGAAUGGCGUAACGAGAUGGGAGCUGUCUCAACCAGAGAUUCAGUGAAAUUGUAGUGGAGGUGAAAAUUCCUCCUACCCGCGGCAAGACGGAAAGACCCCGUGGACCUUUACUACAACUUAGCACUGCUAAUGGGAAUAUCAUGCGCAGGAUAGGUGGGAGGCUUUGAAGUAAGGGCUUUGGCUCUUAUGGAGCCAUCCUUGAGAUACCACCCUUGAUGUUUCUGUUAGCUAACUGGCCUGUGUUAUCCACAGGCGGGACAAUGCUUGGUGGGUAGUUUGACUGGGGCGGUC